ACGGAGGGUGCAAGCGUUAUCCGGAUUCACUGGGUUUAAAGGGUGCGUAGGAGGGCAGGUAAGUCAGUGGUGAAAUCUCCGAGCUUAACUUGGAAACUGCCGUUGAUACUAUCUGCCUUGAAUAUUGUGGAGGUGAGCGGAAUAUGUCAUGUAGCGGUGAAAUGCUUGGAUAUGACAUAGAACACCAAUUGCGAAGGCAGCUGGCUACACGAAUAUUGACACUGAGGCACGAAAGCGUGGGGAUCAAACAGGA
This 253-nucleotide ribosomal RNA is filed under the name uncultured prokaryote. RNAcentral describes it as "partial 16S ribosomal RNA". It matches the Rfam family "Bacterial small subunit ribosomal RNA", at positions 525 to 777 of the family's 1533-position model. The record is from RNAcentral.